Molecule: non-coding RNA, 638 nt
Organism: Neolamprologus brichardi
Lineage: Eukaryota; Metazoa; Chordata; Actinopteri; Cichliformes; Cichlidae
Source: RefSeq, a predicted model, not a curated record
ACAGGCUGUCUGCCUGGAUUUUUCUAGCUCAUAGCUUCGCCCUGCUAAGCGUGUGUACUUGUACAAAGGCCGUUCAGCCUCGGGAUUUACACUCGGCUCAACACGGAUAUGUGAAGAAUGAAGAGACCCUGCAGCGAAACGGAGAGCCCAGCCUCUGACUGAGUGCCUGUUUACUCGGUCUGACCACCUGUUGAAGGGCUGUUUGAUGAUGAUUUGGACUCCUCUGGGAGAUGAGGACACACCCACAUCUGUUCCAUACUGCAGCCAUUGAUGGUGUUACAGCUCUGAGUCAGCUUUGGGGUAUCAGACGCACACACUGGAAACCGGCACCUGGACUUCAUGCAGGAGAGACGGCCUCAGAGAUGGACCAAUCAGAGAGCUCCUUACAUCCCACAGUGUGGCUAAUUUGAAUAGCUGCAGUAUUUUUAAAAUGAAGUUGUUAAUCCAACAGCUAAUCCAAAGGGAAGGGGUGGUGCAGCAGGUUUGAGGGGCAAUGCCAGUAAGGCUGGGACACGAGCUGCAGCCUCAUCCAACCUCUUUUUUUUCCAGGUGCCCAGCCACCCUUCAGUUUCAUCAUAUCAUCCCAAACAAUAGCUGUAGAGUUGGAUGGAGGAUGAAGACAGCAGAGAGAGCAAAAG